RNAcentral lists this ribosomal RNA (274 nucleotides) under uncultured bacterium. RNAcentral describes it as "partial 16S ribosomal RNA". It matches the Rfam family "Bacterial small subunit ribosomal RNA", at positions 523 to 796 of the family's 1533-position model. The record is from RNAcentral.
AUACGUACUGUGCGAACGUUAUUCGGAAUCACUGGGCUUAAAGGGUGCGUAGGCGGCUGGAUAAGUAGGGUGUGAAAUCCCUCGGCUCAACCGAGGAACUGCGCUCUAAACUGUCCGGCUCGAGUGAGAUAGGGGUGUGCGGAACUUCCAGUGGAGCGGUGAAAUGUGUUGAUAUUGGAAGGAACGCCGGUGGCGAAAGCGGCACACUGGGUCUCAACUGACGCUGAGGCUCGAAAGCCAGGGUAGCGAACGGGAUUAGAAACCCCAGUAGUCC